Molecule: ribosomal RNA, 246 nt
Filed under: uncultured bacterium
Lineage: Bacteria
Description: partial 16S ribosomal RNA
Rfam family: Bacterial small subunit ribosomal RNA
Source: RNAcentral
GAUCUGGCUCAGGAUGAACGCUAGCUACAGGCUUAACACAUGCAAGUCGAGGGGCAGCGGGAUUGAAGCUUGCUUCAAUUGCCGGCGACCGGCGCACGGGUGAGUAACGUGUAUCCAACCUUCCGUACACUCAGGGAUAGCCUUUCGAAAGAAAGAUUAAUACCUGAUGGUAUCUUAAGCACACAUGUAAUUAAGAUUAAAGAUUUAUCGGUGUACGAUGGGGAUGCGUUCCAUUAGGUAGUAGGG